Molecule: ribosomal RNA, 429 nt
Filed under: Chloroflexota bacterium
Lineage: Bacteria; Bacillati; Chloroflexota
Description: Chloroflexi bacterium partial 16S ribosomal RNA
Rfam family: Bacterial small subunit ribosomal RNA
Source: RNAcentral
UAGGGAAUCUUCGGCAAUGGACGAAAGUCUGACCGAGCAACGCCGCGUGAGUGAAGAAGGUUUUCGGAUCGUAAAACUCUGUUGUUAGAGAAGAACAAGGACGUUAGUAACUGAACGUCCCCUGACGGUAUCUAACCAGAAAGCCACGGCUAACUACGUGCCAGCAGCCGCGGUAAUACGUAGGUGGCAAGCGUUGUCCGGAUUUAUUGGGCGUAAAGCGAGCGCAGGCGGUUUCUUAAGUCUGAUGUGAAAGCCCCCGGCUCAACCGGGGAGGGUCAUUGGAAACUGGGAGACUUGAGUGCAGAAGAGGAGAGUGGAAUUCCAGGUGUAGCGGUGAAAUGCGUAGAGAUCUGGAGGAAUACCGGUGGCGAAGGCGGCCCCCUGGACGAAGACUGACGCUCAGGUGCGAAAGCGUGGGGAGCAAACAGG